RNAcentral lists this ribosomal RNA (345 nucleotides) under uncultured bacterium. RNAcentral describes it as "bacterial SSU rRNA". It matches the Rfam family "Bacterial small subunit ribosomal RNA", at positions 1 to 334 of the family's 1533-position model. The record is from RNAcentral.
GUGAGUAGUUCAGAGUUUGAUCCUGGCUCAGGACGAACGCUGGCGGCGUGCUUAACACAUGCAAGUCGAACGGACCGAGUUGAUAGCUUGCUAUUGAUGAGGUUAGUGGCAAACGGGUGAGUAACGCGUGAGGAACCUGCCUUUCAGUGGGGGACAACAGUUGGAAACGACUGCUAAUACCGCAUAACAUGUACGGAUCGCAUGGUCUGUACAUCAAAGCUUUAUGUGCUGAAAGAUGGCCUCGCGUCUGAUUAGAUAGUUGGUGAGGUAACGGCUCACCAAGUCGACGAUCAGUAGCCGGUCUGAGAGGAUGAACGGCCACAUUGGGACUGAGAUACGGCCCAG